GUAUCUUUUCAUGAUCAUAAAACUGUAAUCAUAAGUUUAGUGCUUUCCUGAGUUCUGUGAGUCACCCUAGAAAAUUACUGAAGCUGAGGGUGCUUGUAAGCACCCCCAAUUUUUGUAGCCAGCUGGUCUGAAGUGAAGGUGGCCCUGGGGACUCUGAACUUGAGGCUGGUGGCUGAAGUUGGGGCAGUCUUGUGGGGACUGUUCCCUCGGACAGGACAGUUUGGUAACCUCUGCUGCAGAGGUCAGACGUCCAGGAAGAUGUGGUGGUCUGGAGGACUGUGCUCCCAACCUCAGGGUUUGGCCAACUGCAGGCACUCUGGAGAGCGAGCCAGCACAGUAGAAAAAAAAGAGACCUUUUCCGUUUGGUGAACUUCCAAUAAAGCCAGCCAGACAGCUGAGGAGAGUGGCUGGGCUGAGGCUCAAAGCCACACCUGGCAUGUGAAUGUGGGUGUUUAUCUGUCUCAUACACCAGCCCCCCACUAGCUGCUGUCACCCCAGCCCCUGACUACCUGAACACCCGGAGGCCCUCCCAGCCCCACACUGACCUGGGUGAGGACCGUGACUCCAGCAGCUGUCAGGCCCUCACACAAAGGCAUCAAUGUAAAUUGCACAGUGCUCUUCCUGCAGCCUGUGGGCCCCUCCCAGGGCCGGCCCAGAGACAGGAAGACAGCAGGCUAUCUGUCAACAGUCCCAGGACAUGGCUGGCACUCUGCCCUCUGCUCACCACAGGCUGUGGGCAAGGGAACGGCGAGCAAGAUGGACUGAGAGACGCUCCCUUUUCCUCAGCGAGUUGGAUUUAUCUCAACUAUGCAAGAAUGCUUUUAUAUUAGAAUAUUUACAAUUUUUAAAAAACAAUGUAUAAACAAAUGAGAACAAUAAUAUAAAAGUAAUUGCUUGAUAAAAUUCAACACAAACUCGGAAAUUAUGAACAGCUGUUAAUAAAUUAGAGCAUCUGCAUAACUUGAUGUAGGUAACUGUGCUGGUUCGUUUUAUGUGUCAACUUGGCUGUGCUCCAGUGCCCAGAGAUUUGGUUUAAAAGUAUUCUAGGUGCUUCUGUGAAGGGACGUGAGCAUUUAAAUUACUGGAUUUUGGACUGAGUGCAGUGGCUCAUGCCAGUAAUCUCAGCACUGUGGGAGGCUGAGGCAAGAGGAUCAUGUGAAGCCAGGAGUUCAAGACCAGUGUAGGCAGUAAAGUGAGACCCUGUCUCUAUAACAAUAAUAAUAAUUAUAAAUAAAUUAGUGGAUUUUGAGUAAAGUAGGUUAUCCUCCACCAUGUGGGUGGGCCUUAACCAAUCAGUUGAAGACCUUAAUAGACCAAAGACUGACCUCCCUGCAGCAAGAAGGAAUUCUGUUGGCAGAGUGCCAUUGGACCCCAACUACAACUCCUCCCUCGGUCUCCAGCAUGCCAGCCUGCCCCAUCAGACUCUGGACUCAACAAGCCUCCACCAUGUUGAGCUAAUUCCUUAAAAUACACGUCUUGGCUGGGUACGGUGGCUCACGCUUAUAAUCCCAGCACUUUGGGAGGCCAAGGUGGGUGGGUCAUCUGAGGCCAGGAGUAUGAGACCAGCCUGGCCAACAUGGUGAAACCCCAUCUCUACUAAAAAUACAAAAAUUAGCCAGGCAUGGUGGCACAUGCCUGUAAUCCCAGCUCAGGAGGCUGAGGCAGGAGAAUUGCUUGAACUCGGGAGGUGGAGGUUGCAGUGAGCUGAGAUCGCACCAUUGCACUCUGGCCUGGGUGACAAGAGCAAAACUCCAUCUCAAAAA
RNAcentral lists this long non-coding RNA (1763 nucleotides) under Macaca mulatta (Rhesus monkey). RNAcentral describes it as "lncRNA (ENSMMUG00000058696.1)". Lineage: Eukaryota; Metazoa; Chordata; Mammalia; Primates; Cercopithecidae. The record is from RNAcentral.